AGCAGCCGCGGUAAUUCCAACUCCAAUAGCGUAUAUUAAAGUUGUUGCAGUUAAAAAGCUCGUAGUUGAAUUUCGGGGUUAGUAGGUUGGUCAUGCCUCUGGUAUGUACUGGUCUCACUGAUUCCUCCUUCCUGAUGAACCUUAAUGCCAUUUAUUUGGUGUUUUGGGGAAUUUGGACUGUUACUUUGAAAAAAUUAGAGUGUUUAAAGCAAGCUAACGCUUGAAUACAUUAGCAUGGAAUAAUGAAAUAGGACGUUCGAUCCUAUUUUGUUGGUUUCUAGGAUUGACGUAAUGAUUAAUAGGGAUAGUUGGGGGCAUUAGUAUUCAAUUGUCAGAGGUGAAAUUCUUGGAUUUAUUGAAGACUAACUACUGCGAAAGCAUUUGCCAAGGAUGUUUUCAUUAAUCAAGAACGAAAGUUAGGGGAUCGAAGACGAUCAGAUACCGUCGUAG
Molecule: ribosomal RNA, 450 nt
Filed under: uncultured Glomeromycotina
Lineage: Eukaryota; Fungi; Glomeromycota
Description: SSU rRNA
Rfam family: Eukaryotic small subunit ribosomal RNA
Source: RNAcentral